Non-coding RNA from Epinephelus lanceolatus (giant grouper), 1096 nucleotides. The record is from RefSeq and is a predicted model, not a curated record. NCBI's taxonomy places the organism in Eukaryota, Metazoa, Chordata, Actinopteri, Perciformes, Serranidae.
GUCGACAAACCCGGCCUACCUGAGCGUCUACCUGCUCACCACAGCUCAGCUCACUCCCCCUUCAGCUCAGCUCAGCUCAGAUACUAAUUGUGUGGGGAGGUAAACAUGGCAGUCAAGUGGAGAGGACGGCAAGUCAAGCGUGAAUAUCAAUCUCCCCACAUCAGUGUCAUCAGAUGACUUUGACUGAGUUGAGGCGGGCUCAUUAGAGCGAUGGAGCCACAAUAACAUCCAGGUGUGGGGCCCUGAAGUUACGGAAGCCUGCAGAGCUCACUGGUUAACAGGAACGUGGUGGAGGAAACUGAAAAGAGGUGGCAAGUGUCAGAAGCAGAUGAGGUCAGCAUUCUCAGCGCAGUCAUUGACCCUUCGCUUCAAGCAGUUAAGCUGUCUGUCUGACAAGUAAAAGGAACAGCUCUCCAGACUCUACCUGCCUGCUCCUGCUGCUGCCACACAUCACUUCAGGAAACUGAUGAACUGUACCAACCUCAGAUUAACCUCCAACCCUGUCUUUCUUUUUCUGCAGUCCCAGGCCAUCACUGGAGGUUUCAGAAGAUCAAGCGUAAAGAGGAAGAAAGAUAUCAGAUAACAAGGCUGCGUGGAGGCACGGCACGUGGUAUCGGCUGCUCCGUGCUGCAACCACCGGGAAUGAAGUGACAGGCCGUGGUGGAGCACAGGAACAAAAUCAAGAGCUAGAUAUGAUAUACGAGAGAGGAGAGGGAGAGAUGCUGCACUGCUGCCAGAGGAGCCCCUGAAUGAGUUCAGUCUUAGCGUGUCUUCCUCAGAGUGUGCUGGCUUUGGCUGGAGUCCCCUGUGAGCUGUGAAAAGGAUGAUCCGUUUAAUCCUCCAAAGGUCUUUUCUGCUGUUUGAUUUAGACACAGACACAGCACCAUCACCAUCACCACCAUUAUCAAUUUGUCUCACGAAGGUGUCUUGAUAAUGUGCCUGCUUGGCUUUUUACAAACUGAAUGAGCUGUUCUGUGGAUAUUAAAUAUAGAAGUGUGGAAGUAAAGCAGGGUCUGAUUCUGUGUGAGCCCUCACUGAAGAAAAACACAAAGAUGUCUUGUGUUUUUCCUGUGAUUUUUUUAAUGAUCAGAUUUGU